UACGUAGGGCGCAAGCGUUGUCCGGAAUCAUUGGGCGUAAAGAGCUCGUAGGUGGUCUGUUACGUCUGCUGUGAAAUCCUAGGGCUUAACCCUGGGCCUGCAGUGGAUACGGGCAGACUAAAGGUAGGUAGGGGAGAAUGGAAUUCCCGGUGUAGCGGUGAAAUGCGCAGAUAUCGGGAGGAACACCGGUGGCGAAGGCGGUUCUCUGGGCCUUACCUGACACUGAGGAGCGAAAGCGUGGGGAGCGAACAGG
Molecule: ribosomal RNA, 253 nt
Filed under: uncultured bacterium
Lineage: Bacteria
Description: partial 16S ribosomal RNA
Rfam family: Bacterial small subunit ribosomal RNA
Source: RNAcentral